UACGUAGGGUGCGAGCGUUGUCCGGAAUUAUUGGGCGUAAAGAGCUUGUAGGUGGCUCGUUGCGUCGGGAGUGAAAACCUGCGGCUUAACCGCAGGCCUGCUUCCGAUACGGGCGAGCUAGAGUUCGGCAGGGGAGACUGGAAUUCCUGGUGUAGCGGUGGAAUGCGCAGAUAUCAGGAGGAACACCGGUGGCGAAGGCGGCUCUCUGGGACGGUACUGACGCUGAGACGCGAAAGCGUGGGGAGCGAACAGG
This 253-nucleotide ribosomal RNA is filed under the name uncultured bacterium. RNAcentral describes it as "partial 16S ribosomal RNA". It matches the Rfam family "Bacterial small subunit ribosomal RNA", at positions 524 to 776 of the family's 1533-position model. The record is from RNAcentral.